Molecule: ribosomal RNA, 497 nt
Filed under: uncultured bacterium
Lineage: Bacteria
Description: partial 16S ribosomal RNA
Rfam family: Bacterial small subunit ribosomal RNA
Source: RNAcentral
GAUGAACGCUGGCGGCGUGCCUAAUACAUGCAAGUCGAGCGAACGGACGAGAAGCUUGCUUCUCUGAUGUUAGCGGCGGACGGGUGAGUAACACGUGGAUAACCUACCUAUAAGACUGGGAUAACUUCGGGAAACCGGAGCUAAUACCGGAUAAUAGUUUGAACCGCAUGGUUCAAAAGUGAAAGACGGUCUUGCUGUCACUUAUAGAUGGAUCCGCGCUGCAUUAGCUAGUUGGUAAGGUAACGGCUUACCAAGGCAACGAUGCAUAGCCGACCUGAGAGGGUGAUCAGGCACACUGGAACUGAGACACGGGCCAGACUCCUACGGGAGGCAGCAGUGGGGAAUUUUGUACAAUGGGCGAAAGCAUGAUCCAGCAAGGCCGCGUGUGUGAAGAAGGUCUUCGGAUCGUAAAGCACUUGAAGUCGGGAAGAAAGGAAGUAAGAGAAGCUCUGCCCGUCUUGACGGUACCAAAAGAAUAAGCACCGGCUAACUUCGUG